UCAAAAGUCAGUCGGGAGCCCUAGUGGCUGCCCGUCUACACCCAAGUCUUUGUGUACUCAUUGUUUCCUCGGCGGCGUAAGUCGCCGAAUGGACAAACUAAAACCUUUUUGUAAUUGCAAUCAGCGUCAUUAAAUAUAAUAAUAUUUA
Molecule: unclassified non-coding RNA, 148 nt
Filed under: soil metagenome
Description: partial internal transcribed spacer 1
Source: RNAcentral